This 498-nucleotide ribosomal RNA is filed under the name uncultured bacterium. RNAcentral describes it as "partial 16S ribosomal RNA". It matches the Rfam family "Bacterial small subunit ribosomal RNA", at positions 30 to 523 of the family's 1533-position model. The record is from RNAcentral.
AUUGAACGCUGGCGGCAUGCCUUACACAUGCAAGUCGAACGGCAGCACGGGGCAACCUGGUGGCGAGUGGCGAACGGGUGAGUAAUGCAUCGGAACGUACCUUUCAGUGGGGGAUAACGUAGCGAAAGUUACGCUAAUACCGCAUAUUCUGUGAGCAGGAAAGCAGGGGAUCGCAAGACCUUGCGCUGAUUGAGCGGCCGAUGUCAGAUUAGCUAGUUGGUGAGGUAAAGGCUCACCAAGGCGACGAUCUGUAGCGGGUCUGAGAGGAUGAUCCGCCACACUGGAACUGAGACACGGUCCAGACUCCUACGGGAGGCAGCAGUGGGGAAUUUUGGACAAUGGGGGCAACCCUGAUCCAGCCAUGCCGCGUGAGUGAAGAAGGCCUUCGGGUUGUAAAGCUCUUUCGGCCGGGAAAAAAUCGCAUGGGUUAAUAACCUGUGUGGAUGAUGGUACCGGAAUAAGAAGCACCGGCUAACUACGUGCCAGCAGCCGCAGUAA